RNAcentral lists this ribosomal RNA (264 nucleotides) under uncultured bacterium. RNAcentral's name for it is "partial 16S ribosomal RNA". It matches the Rfam family "Bacterial small subunit ribosomal RNA", at positions 90 to 354 of the family's 1533-position model. The record is from RNAcentral.
UCUUAGUGGCGGACGGGUGAGUAACGCGUGGGUAACCUGCCCCAUACCGGGGGAUACCACCUGGAAACAGGUGCUAAUACCGCAUAAGCGCACGGGAGCGCAUGCUCCUGUGUGAAAAACUCCGGUGGUAUGGGAUGGACCCGCGUCUGAUUAGCCAGUUGGCAGGGUAACGGCCUACCAAAGCGACGAUCAGUAGCCGGCCUGAGGGGGUGGACGGCCACAUUGGGACUGAGACACGGCCCAAACUCCUACGGAAGGCAGCAG